UGGGGAAUAUUGCGCAAUGGGGGCAACCCUGACGCAGCAACGCCGCGUGCGGGACGACGGCCUUCGGGUUGUAAACCGCUUUCAGCAGGGAAGAUAGUGACGGUACCUGCACAAGAAGCCCCGGCUAACUACGUGCCAGCAGCCGCUGUAAUACGUAGGGGGCGAGCGUUAUCCGGAAUUAUUGGGCUUAAAGGGCAUCUAGGCGGUAAGACAAGUUGAAGGUGAAAACCUGUGGCUCAACCAUAGGCUUGCCUACAAAACUGUUGAACUAGAGUACUGGAAAGGUGGGUGGAACUACACGAGUAGAGGUGAAAUUCGUAGAUAUGUGUAGGAAUGCCGAUGAUGAAGAUAACUCACUGGACAGAAACUGACGCUGAAGUGCGAAAGCUAGGGGAGCAAACAGG
This 404-nucleotide ribosomal RNA is filed under the name Verrucomicrobiota bacterium. RNAcentral's name for it is "Verrucomicrobia bacterium partial 16S ribosomal RNA". It matches the Rfam family "Bacterial small subunit ribosomal RNA", at positions 355 to 776 of the family's 1533-position model. The record is from RNAcentral. Lineage: Bacteria; Pseudomonadati; Verrucomicrobiota.